AUAAACCCUAUACCCUAAUGCUGUCAUCUUCUUCUUCUACAUAAGUCACUGAAGAGAGUUUGGUUUGAAGAGAAAAUAAAAUGAGAAACUAAAGAGCGGCGGAUUCGACUCAGAUCGUGAAACUGAGUCAAGCAAAAUCUGCAAAGCUUACGUAAGAUUUGUCCUUUUAAGCAUGUUUUCAUUCUUUCAAUAUUUUAGUACACAUGUGUUCAAUUUAUCUGAAGAACAUGAAAUUUAUAGUUAAUUUGUAAUUAUUUUAGGAAUUUUAACUUAUUUUGAAGUUAUAAUUCUUUUGGGGCUUUUGAUUGAUGUGAUGACGAUAACAUAAGAAAUCAUGAUUGUUGGAAUUUUUAAUCCCUUCAAGAUGAAUUUCAAUUUUGGUUCGUAUUCCCUGAGCAUCAGUAGUAGCAUUAUCUAUGAAAGAAGUUUUUUGAUAUAAUGUGCUUUCACCCAGAUUGUGAAACUGAGUCACCAAAACUGUAAAUGUUAAUUGAAUCUAAUGUAAGCUUUUGUCCUUUUAAGCAUGAUUCUUUCAAUAAACACGUGUUCAAGUUAUCUGAAGAACAUGAAAUUUAUAGUUAAAUAGUUUAAAAUUAUCAAAAUGUAGAACCCCUUUUUGUAUUUUUAGGAAUUUUAGCUUAUUUUGAAGUUUUAAUUCUUUUGGGGCUUAUAAUUGAUGCGAUGACGAUAACAUAAGAAAUCACGAUUGUUGGGAUUUUUAAUCCCUUCAAAAUGAAUUUCAAUUUUGGUUCGUAUUCCCUGAGCAUCAGUACUAACAUUACUUAUUAGUAGUUAAACCUUACUUAGCCAAAAGAGUGAAGGACCUAUUGAGGAAGUGCUUUGUUACAUUGUGCUUUUAUCCAAGUUUGUCUUUUCCAAAAUCUUAUUAGGGAAUAUUGAUCACAGAGUUGAACAUUUUUUAACGUUUGGAGUCGGUCUAAAGUCAGGUCUGUUUUAAAAUUUUCAUACAUUAUGAUUUUUUAUUUAUUUUGAGAAAACGAUGCGAAGGUCCCAGCAGAGAGGUAGGAACUCUAUAUUGAGACCUCUCUAACAUGAAUUAUUACCCUUCGCAGAUUGAGAUCAUUAUCAGCUGUUUCGUAGGAUGCCCAAAUAGAUCACGAGAUCAAGAUUCUUGGUGUAUCUUGAACCCUCAGCUACAUUUAAUUCAUUAUGGUUGUGUUCAGGUCCAAUAAAAUUUUCUAUCUACUAUACUCAUCUGUACUUCUUUUGUACAAUAACUAAUUAUUUUUUCCAAGCUUUAGUGUGUGAUCAAUUCAGCUCUGUAGUAGCUACAAUGGUUGUUCUCUCGUUUUUUUUUCUCUCAUGGAUUUACAACCUGCCACAUUGAUCCAGAUGACAUUUGUAUUUGUUGCAUCAAAUAUCUGAAGAGAGAAAGCUUAUAUUAAAAUCCAUAAGGCAUAUUGUUUAAUGUUAGAUUUUAACUUCUUCCCAAAGAAUAUGGCUACUUAUGAUUCUAUAUCCAAUUGAUGAUUUGAUGCGAUGACGAGAACUUGAGAAAUCAUUGAUUGUGGAUAUUUAUAUCCUCCAAGAUGAAUGUCUUUCUGGUUCGUAUUCCCUGAGCAUCAAAUCUGCUUGUACAUAUGUUUUUUUAUCUGAAGUUGGUCGGUUUGAAACGCAAAUCACACAUUUUUAAGCUCUAAUCUGAUUUAUAUUUCUACCUCUUUGACUUUUUCACUCUUUGAUUUGAAUAGCCUAAGGUUUGAACUGUAUAUUGUUUGGUUUUCUUUUUUUGAAAGGUUUUGUUUUAUUCAAAGCUUUAAUAGAUGCAAUGAUGAUAACAUAAGAAAUUAUUGAUUGUGAGAUCACUAUUCCCUCAACAUGAGUUUCAUUUUUGGUUCGUAUUCCCUGAGCAUCAAGUCUGUAUAUAGAUAUUUUUUAACAUAAAAAUAGCUAAAUCUGCCAAUGGUUGAAAUGCUUUGAUAUGGUAUGUUGUCAUUUUACCUUUGUAUUCAGGAGUGAAUAAUUACUUAGGGUGCAUUUGAUAAUAGCUUUGCCAUGGAAAAUCAGGUCUUUGCCACCAUUUGCCAGAGUUUGCCUGUGUUUGAAAACGUUUUGGUAAAAUGGCAAAAACAAAAUCAAAAUUUGCCGUUGACUGAUCACGUGAUCAUUUUUGGCCCAAUUUACCUGGCAAAUCUAGAAAAAAUUUGCCCACCUCAAGAGGUGGAACUCAGCCUCUUUUCGCCUGUAUAAAACAUAACCCACAAAUAAAAAAACCUAGCCCUAUCUGUUUCUUCUCUCGUUCUCACUUCUCUCUCGCAGUAUUUACAAAACUCAAACAAAGAAGACGAAAGAUAACACUGGUAAGAAUUAUCUUCUUCUUCUUUCUAUUAUCUAGUUCUAGUUUUUUCUUCUUUCUUUUUUUUAUUUGUCUUUGAAAACUUGGAAUCGAUAAAAGCUUGAACUCUUUCAUCGCAAAUCUAUUGCAAAGCUUGAACGAUUGAACAAAUUGUCUUCCUUGAAAUUAGGGGUGGGCAAAAAAACCGAAAAACCGAAAACCGAACCGAAAAAACCGAGUCAAAACCGAGUUGACUGAAAACCGGUCAACACCGGACCGAAACCGAACCGAACUAUAUAGCUAUCGGUCCGGUCUCGGUUCUGGUUUUUAUAGAACCGAGAAAACCGAACCGAACCGAAAUAAAUAAAAAAUAUUUUUUUUAAUAGGAAAUUACUAAACUAGACAUAGUAAAUACUAAACCUAAAACUUCAUUCAGUCCCGCCUCCUUCAGUCCUCUUCUCCAUUCCGCCUCCUUCAGUCCUCUUCUCCACCACCACCGCCACUUCCUCGUUCCUCUUCCUCGUUCGAUCGAAAUAGUUAAUACAAUACGAAAACCGAAAACAAUUCGUUCGUCGUCGUGGUAGAGAAAUCGAUUAGAGUUUUCGAUUCGAAAGGUAUUCAUGAAACCUUAAUUAGAGUUUUCGAUUUCAAUAUGUGUAGUUUGAUUGAUUGAUUUGAUGAGUUUAGAUUUGUUUCUGUUAAAGAGUUUAUGUUCUUUUGCUUCUGUUAAUGUUUAGUAGUUUCUAAAUUUUUUUAUUUUUUUUCUGUUAGAUUAGAUUAGAUUAAAUUGAAUCUGCCUCUUUGAGUAGCCAUACGAGUUUUAUUGUUAUUGGUGGAGUUUUUCUACCAAACAAUCCAUAUCAUAUGGCUUAGUUAUGAGGCAAAGAUUAAUAGAUUUCUUUUUCAACUUCAAUUUCAUUGAUUUUGAUUUCGAGAUCCUCUUAGGUUGUUUGAGAUGAUUUUUAGAUAUUAAAAAUACUUCUAAUUGUCUUUCAAACGACCUUGAACAUUUGUUUUUGUUUCUUUUUUUUUUUGAUGAAAUUAAGAUUGCCUCAAAAUUACCGAAUUGUGGAAGUUUAGAGACCACAUUUGGUCCAGACAGAGGCAUAGAAUAAGAGAUGGGUAUGUGUUUUGCACAUUACCCGUCUUUCGAAUUGGUUUGAAGGAUAGAAAUGAUGGGAGUUUCUGUUCUAGUUCCUCUCUUAUAUUGGAGAAGAAAUUAGGGAUUUUCCAUCUCAGUUUCUAUCCUAGAUAGAUUCGGAUAUUUUAUUCUUUGAAAAGUUUGUAGUUUAUCUUAGUAUAUGAUGGAUCAAGCAAAUGAUUCUUAAAAGUGUUGAAACUAGCAAUGUGUUCUUAUCAUUGUUGGAAUGCUUCUUAGAUCUUUACAUUGUUGUAAUGAAGUACAUUCAAAAGGACGUCCAGCAGAUGUGAUUCACUCAACAAAUUUCCCCAAAAUGUGUUCCCUUUUUUUUUAUUCAUUCAAUCCCUUUGUAACUCCAUCAUGUGAUUCUUUUUGGCAGGUUUCAAAAGAGGUUUGGACUUUAUAUCACGAAAGUUUGGUGGCUCGAAGGUUAUAUGCAAGUGUUUUUUUGCAAUUUGAUCAUUGUCGCGCUUGUUGUUUUGAAGGAACUUUGGACUUGUCACGCUUGUUUGUACUUUUAAGAAUUUUUUGUUAUGUAUUUGGAGCAACUUCUAUGCAUAGUACAAAAUAUCGUUAUCGACUAAUGUAUCGAUCUCCAAAAAAUAGAUAUAUCGGGAUAUAUUGGAA
This 4064-nucleotide long non-coding RNA is filed under the name Aquilegia coerulea. Its description in RNAcentral is "long non-coding RNA (ACOE_LNC000354)". The stretch from base 1001 to 1164 matches the Rfam family "Small nucleolar RNA snoR145". The record is from RNAcentral. Lineage: Eukaryota; Viridiplantae; Streptophyta; Magnoliopsida; Ranunculales; Ranunculaceae.